GUUCAUGGUAUCACAACUGGGAGUUUCAGAGACUGGAAUGGAGAAUAGGAGGAAGGAAGGAGGUAAAUGUCAGCAUGACUGUCUUCCUUAGGUAGUUACAGAUGCCUUAUCCAGGUGUGAUACUGGGGCCUCUUCAUCCUCAGCAUGAAACAUGCUGUCAGCAGACUGGGGUCAUGAUCAGGUAUUAGAGUUUGGCCAGGUGGACCAAUGUGAUCCCUGGGUUUAGUGUCCGGCUACCUGGAAACUUCCAGCUUUGACAUUAAUAGCUGUAUGAGUGAGUUCAGGUCUCCUUUAACCUUUUAGAAAUGUGUUCUCUUCAUCUGU
This 324-nucleotide long non-coding RNA is filed under the name Pan troglodytes (chimpanzee). Its description in RNAcentral is "long non-coding RNA NONPTRT007533". The record is from RNAcentral. Lineage: Eukaryota; Metazoa; Chordata; Mammalia; Primates; Hominidae.